Anas platyrhynchos (mallard) is the source of this 1352-nucleotide non-coding RNA. NCBI's taxonomy places the organism in Eukaryota, Metazoa, Chordata, Aves, Anseriformes, Anatidae. The record is from RefSeq and is a predicted model, not a curated record.
GGUCGGCAUAUGCGGCCCUCUGUUCUGCUCAGAAGGGAGUCACUUAUGACAGUAACCCUUCUCUUCUUCUUGAUGGAGGUGGUCGUGAUACUGGGGAAGGCUGACUUGCCCUAGAAAACCCCUCCAACCUGAAUGGACCUUCAUGCACAUCAUCGUUUGUGUGUCCAUUACUUCCAGAGUCUGUUGUUUCAGGGCACCUGAAAGGAAGGUGAGGUAGGCAAGGAGGGGUUCGCCUGCUGCCCCGAGCAGAUCUAAACUUCCAUCCCUUCGUCACUGAGAUGCACUCCUUCUGCCUGAUGGCCAGAGGCCUGCCCACCUCCUCCCGAAGCUCUGCCAGGAGGCUGAGCAGUUCUUCUACCUGGGCGCACCUACCACAGGUGGACUCACAGGAUGGGAUGUCAGGAAGAAUUUCUUCAUGCAAAGGGUGGAACCGGCUGCCCAGGGCACUGCUGGAGUCCCAGGCCUGGAGCUAUUAAAGAAAUGCGUGGACUUGGCGCUAAGGGCCGUGGUUUUGUGGUGGGCCUGGUGGUGUUAGCUGACGCUUGGACUUGAGCUGAAGGCCCUUUUCCAAGCGCAAGGGUUCUGUGACUCUUUCACUGGUUGAGUAGGCGCCAUGCAGUCACCGGGCCCAGGGAAAAGACGUCCUUGGUGGCCUCCAAGUUAGCUCAGCGUCAUGGCACCGAGUCACUGUGAAGGAGCUGCUGGAAUAACGAGACAACAACCUAGUUCUAUUAAAAUAUAUAUUGCUCUUUUGAGGACUGCUGCGGGGCUAGCAGCAACACAGCAGUGGAAAUCUCCGUCCUGACAUUGCCUUAUGCCUUGACGUCAGGAUCAGGGUGGUUUGAACUGCCAGGGAACGGACCAUGGGUUCCGGGUCUUUCUCUGAAGACUGGAGGACUGCAAAAGAAAGAAGAGCAGAGAUGAAAACCCACUCGUUGCAGAGAUCCCCAGGCAUCCCCUGCAGACCAUGCCAGCCCCACUCGACUCUUCCCCAGGCCAGGAGGAGCAGGAGGGACAAAGGAAUCCGUUGAAAGCUGCUGCUCAGCAAUGUCCCAAAUGCAGCCACCAGUCCUUCCCCACCUGCGCACCACAGGUCAAGUGGGGCACCUUCACAAGCUGGUUCCCUCACCACCUGCCUCCAUCCCUUGGGAGGAUUCACACACUCCAGGAAUCUCCUGGACUCUUUCCUCUCGCUAUUGUGCUUCCCCAUGAGAGCAAGGGCUAGCAAUCGUGACCCUGCUCCUAGCUGCUUGUAGGCUGUCUCAUCUCCCUCUUCGUCCUGGUUGCGUGCUCUACAACAGGCUCCCACCUUCUGUCAGCCUUACUGCCCUUUCCCCUGACUCUUCCUCAGG